This 206-nucleotide long non-coding RNA is filed under the name Elaeis guineensis (African oil palm). RNAcentral's name for it is "long non-coding RNA (EGUI_LNC036025)". The record is from RNAcentral. Lineage: Eukaryota; Viridiplantae; Streptophyta; Magnoliopsida; Arecales; Arecaceae.
UGUCCUUCACUACGAGGGUUCCUAAGUUUCUUUGAGGUGAGGUGGUUCUUACUGCAGCCUAUCUUAUUAACCGGAUGCCUCUUCAGCUUUAGACUAUCGCACGCUACUUGAGUGCCUACAAGAAGUAUCUUCUUUUAUUAUACCUCCUCGGAUAUUUGGGUGUGUAUGCUUUGUCCGAGAUCAUCGAUUUAUGAUUAGUAAACUGG